ACUAUUCAACCCAUGCCCCAUAGAGGACAGAAAUCCUAAACUUAAAUCCCUAACGCCCCACGCAGCUCAUCUCUCUAGUCUCAACUCUCGUCAGUCACUCUCAGGCCAGCCGGCGCUGCCGCUCAGUUCUCGCUGAGUGCUCGCAGGCGUCGCGCAGCCCGCUACUCACUGGCCAGUGGCCAGUGGCCACUGCCCACUGCUCACGCUCGCGAGUCGCGCCUCGAAGGUAAAAUUAUGCCCUUUUGAGUUUAGUGAUGGCCUAAUUGGGCAGGCUGCAGGUCACAACUCACAGUGCAGGUAUUGACAUUUUUGAAAGGAGUUCAACACAUAAAUUCCAGGUAACAAACUGUAGACGAGUAAUCCAUAGGAGAUCAUAGAUAUGUAUGCAGAGCUAUCACUCCAGAAACCUUUGCUGGGAGCUUUAAUACUUUUUUCUUCACAUAAUAGUCAUUUUCUAAGACCUUCUCUAAUAAGCAUCUUGCUUUGUGCAAAUGAAGUCACUAAAUGCAUAUAACUGCGUACCUUCUGUAGCUACUAGCAUAUGAAAACCACCUGCUACUAUAUCUGGCAAGUUUGGCCUGGACCAGGACUGACACACUUGGCCUCUGGCCCAGGGAGAUGGUCUGGUUCACGAACCGGACCCUUUCUUAAGAGGCCGGUCUGGGCCAGUAAAUUCUGAAGAGUGGUGGACCUGACACCAACUCCUGAUUCCUAACCACUAUGUGAUCUGGUAGUGGACCAAUCCGAGCUUCUUCUUUUUAACUUCAUUCUACUUUU
Long non-coding RNA from Solanum tuberosum (potato), 777 nucleotides. RefSeq lists it as uncharacterized. The transcript is spliced from 3 exons. The record is from RefSeq and is a predicted model, not a curated record. NCBI's taxonomy places the organism in Eukaryota, Viridiplantae, Streptophyta, Magnoliopsida, Solanales, Solanaceae.